Long non-coding RNA from Oncorhynchus tshawytscha (Chinook salmon), 657 nucleotides. Lineage: Eukaryota; Metazoa; Chordata; Actinopteri; Salmoniformes; Salmonidae. The record is from Ensembl.
CACGUAUUCCCCAAGGUGUCUACAGCAUUGUGACAUAUUUUUACGCAUUUCCAUUAAAGAAUAGCCGCAAGGGAGCAUAUUUAGCAAGUGGUCACAUGGUGUCUCCCGCAGAAAAUCUUGCGUAAAAUACUGAGGUAAGCCAUUUUUCCAAUCGCUUCUUAUAAGAAACCAAUUGCCUCGACGGAUAUAUUAUCAAAUAUAUAUGUUAAAAACACCUUGAGGAUGGAUCCUAAACAACGUUUGCCGUGUUUCUGUCGAUAUUAUGGAGCUAAUUUUGAAAAAAGUUUGGCGUUGUAGUGGUAGCAUUUUCCGGUCGAUUUCUCAGCCAAGCAUGAUGAACAAACUGGAGCUAUUUCACCUACAAAAAUAAUAUUUUGGGAAAAAAGGAACAUUUGCUAUCUAACUGGGAGUCUCCUGAGUGAAAACAUCCGAAGUUCUUCAAAGGAAAGCUGCUGUGCAUCAUUUAUUGGAAAGGCUUCAACAGGAAAUGGCUUCCUGAAAUCCCUCAAGCAGCUGAUUGGUCGACUCCAGGGCUAAUUGAAGAGUUGACCCCGCCCCCUCGUCAAGACACAGCUGUUUCCAAUCACCCAUUCCUUCUGAAGCUAUAUAAAAGCCAGUGUUCUGUUCAGGAGAGAGAGAUUUUGCUGGGAGGUCAUU